UUUCUUCUUCUUCUUCGUCUUCUUCAA
This 27-nucleotide small RNA is filed under the name Arabidopsis thaliana (thale cress). Its description in RNAcentral is "ATSL104290". The record is from RNAcentral. Lineage: Eukaryota; Viridiplantae; Streptophyta; Magnoliopsida; Brassicales; Brassicaceae.